This 730-nucleotide ribosomal RNA is filed under the name uncultured eukaryote. RNAcentral describes it as "SSU rRNA". It matches the Rfam family "Eukaryotic small subunit ribosomal RNA", at positions 667 to 1426 of the family's 1831-position model. The record is from RNAcentral.
CGCGAGAUCUUUUCGUAGCCGGGUCUUUCCCGCUGUGGAACCCCAUGGCCUUCACUGGUUGUGGCGGGGAAACAGGACUUUUACUUUGAAAAAAUUAGAGUGCUCCAGGCAGGCCUAUGCUCGAAUACAUUAGCAUGGAAUAAUAGAAUAGGACGCGUGGUUCUAUUUUGUUGGUUUCUAGGACCGCCGUAAUGAUUAAUAGGGACAGUCGGGGGCAUCAGUAUUCAAUUGUCAGAGGUGAAAUUCUUGGAUCUAUUGAAGACUAACUACUGCGAAAGCAUUUGCCAAGGAUGUUUUCAUUGAUAAGGAACGAAAGUUAGGGGAUCGAAGACGAUCAGAUACCGUCGUAGUCUUAACUAUAAACUAUGCCGACUAGGGAUCGGACGAUGUUAUCUUUUGACUCGUUCGGCACCUUUCGAGAAAUCAAAGUGCUUGGGCUCCAGGGGGAGUAUGGUCGCAAGGCUGAAACUUAAAGAAAUUGACGGAAGGGCACCACCAGGGGUGGAACCUGCGGCUUAAUUUGACUCAACACGGGGAAACUCACCAGGUCCAGACACAGUGAGGAUUGACAGAUUGAUAGCUCUUUCUUGAUUCUGUGGGUGGUGGUGCAUGGCCGUUCUUAGUUGGUGGAGUGAUUUGUCUGCUUAAUUGCGAUAACGAACGAGACCUCAACCUCCUAAAUAGCCCCCAUUGCUUCGGCAGUAAGCUGGCUUCUUAGAGGGACUAUCGG